Molecule: ribosomal RNA, 777 nt
Filed under: uncultured bacterium
Lineage: Bacteria
Description: bacterial SSU rRNA
Rfam family: Bacterial small subunit ribosomal RNA
Source: RNAcentral
GCGGCCGAUCGCCUUGAGUUGAUAUGGCUCAGAUGAACGUUGGCGACGUGGAUUAGGCAUGCAAGUCGGACGGGGCCGCAAGGUACCCGUGGCGCAAGGGUGAGUAAGGCGACGGUAACCAACCCCGGGGCUGGCCAUAGCCGAGGGAAACCUCGGGUAAUUGCCAGCGACGCGACGAGUCGGCAUCGGCUCGUCGCCAAAGGUGUGAUUCCGCCCCGGGACGGGCCGUCGUGGUAUCAGGUUGUUGGCGGGGUAGCGGCCCACCAAGCCUCUGACGCCUACCCGGCGUGCGAGCGUGGCCCGGCACACUGGGACUGAGACACUGCCCAGACUCCUACGGGAGGCUGCAGUCGAGAAUCUUCGGCAAUGGGCGCAAGCCCGACCGAGCGACGUCGCGUGGAGGACGAAGGCCUUCGGGUUGUAAACUCCUGUCGGGGGGGAACAAGGGCCGGCGAAGAGCCGGACUUGAGUGAUCCCCGGAGGAAGCACGGGCUAAGUUCGUGCCAGUAGCCGCGGUAAGACGAACCGUGCGAACGUUAUUCGGAUUCACUGGGCUUAAAGGGCGCGUAGACGGGCGACCGCGUCGAGUGCUGAAAUCCCCCGGCUCAACCGGGGAACGGGCCUCGAAACGGGUGGCCUCGAGUCGAGGAGGGGGACCUGGAACGUCCGGUGGAGCGGUGAAAUGCGUUGAGAUCGGACGGAACGCCGACGGCGAAAGCAAGGUCCUGGACUCGGACUGACGUUGAGGCGCGAAAGCCAGGGGAGCGAACGGGAUUA